RNAcentral lists this ribosomal RNA (449 nucleotides) under uncultured bacterium. RNAcentral's name for it is "partial 16S ribosomal RNA". It matches the Rfam family "Bacterial small subunit ribosomal RNA", at positions 29 to 523 of the family's 1533-position model. The record is from RNAcentral.
AACGAACGCUGGCGGCAUGCCUAACACAUGCAAGUCGAACGAGAUCUUCGGGUCUAGUGGCGCACGGGUGCGUAACGCGUGGGAAUCUGCCCUUUGGUUCGGAAUAACAGUUGGAAACGACUGCUAAUACCGGAUGAUGACGAAAGUCCAAAGAUUUAUCGCCAGAGGAUGAGCCCGCGUAGGAUUAGCUAGUUGGUGUGGUAAAGGCGCACCAAGGCGACGAUCCUUAGCUGGUCUGAGAGGAUGCUCAGCCACACUGGGACUGAGACACGGCCCAGACUCCUACGGGAGGCAGCAGUGGGGAAUAUUGGACAAUGGGCGAAGGCCUGAUCCAGCAAUGCCGCGUGAGUGAUGAAGGCCUUAGGGUUGUAAAGCUCUUUUACCCGGGAUGAUAAUGACAGUACCGGGAGAAUAAGCUCCGGCUAACUCCGUGCCAGCCGCCGCAGUAA